This 429-nucleotide ribosomal RNA is filed under the name uncultured bacterium. Its description in RNAcentral is "bacterial SSU rRNA". It matches the Rfam family "Bacterial small subunit ribosomal RNA", at positions 355 to 776 of the family's 1533-position model. The record is from RNAcentral.
UAGGGAAUAUUGGACAAUGGGGGAAACCCUGAUCCAGCAACGCCGCGUGGAUGAUGAAGCUUUUUGGAGUGUAAAAUCCUGUCAGUGGGGACGAAACGUCCGGGUAGGAAAUGACCCGGGCCUGACUGUACCCGCAGAGGAAGUUCCGGCCAACUCCGUGCCAGCAGCCGCGGUAAUACGGGGGGAACGAGCGUUGUUCGGAUUUACUGGGCGUAAAGGGCACGCAGGCGGGGAGACAAGUCAGAUGUGAAAACCCAAAGCUUAACUCUGGGCCUGCAUUUGAUACUGUUUCUCUUGAGUACGGGAGAGGAUAGCGGAAUUCUUGGUGUAGCGGUGAAAUGCGUAGAUAUCAAGAAGAACACCGGUGGCGAAGGCGGCUAUCUGGCCCGAUACUGACGCUCAUGUGCGAAGGCAAGGGGAGCAAACAGG